UACGGGGGGAGCAAGCGUUGUUCGGAUUUACUGGGCGUAAAGGGCGCGUAGGCGGCCACCGCAAGUCGACUGUGAAAUCUCUGAGCUUAACUCAGAACGGCCAAGUGAUACUGCAGUGCUAGAGUGCAGAAGGGGCAAUCGGAAUUCUUGGUGUAGCGGUGAAAUGCGUAGAUAUCAAGAGGAACACCUGAGGUGAAGACGGGUUGCUGGGCUGACACUGACGCUGAGGCGCGAAAGCCAGGGGAGCAAACGGG
This 254-nucleotide ribosomal RNA is filed under the name uncultured bacterium. Its description in RNAcentral is "partial 16S ribosomal RNA". It matches the Rfam family "Bacterial small subunit ribosomal RNA", at positions 524 to 776 of the family's 1533-position model. The record is from RNAcentral.